UGUUUGAUUCAGAAAUUCCAAUCGUGGGCUUAUACCCCAGAGAAUUGAAAGUAAGGAGUUGAAGUGAUAUUUGUGCACCAUAUUCAUUCAAAGCAGCAAUAUUCAAAACCAAAAGGUGGAAACAAUUCAGAUGUUCACUGACGAAUGAGCGCAUGGAUAAAUAAAUGUGAUUUUAUAUACAUGUUACUAUAUUUACAUGUAAAUUAUAAGUAAAAUAUGAUCAUUAUAUAAAAUUGUAUAUAAUUUAAACACAUAUAAAUUAUAUAAAAUAAACAUUAUUUAAAAAUUAAAAUUUUAUACCUAAGUAUAUAAAAUCAUUCAGUCUCAAAAAGGAUGUAAAAUUCUGAUAGAUGCUACAACAUGGAUAAACCUUAAAGAUGUUAUGCUACAUGAAAUAAGCCAGUCACAAAAGGAAAAAUGCUAUAUGAUUCCACUUACAUGAGGCAGGUAGAGUAGUCAAACUUACAGAGACAGAAAGUGGAAUGGCGGUAGCUCGGGUGUGUGGGAGGAGGUGACAAGGGGGGUUCUUUCAUGUGAAGAGUUUCAGUUCGGGAGGAUGAAAAAGUUCUAGAGAUGGAAGAUGGUGAUAGUUGCACACUACUGAACUGUACACUUUAAAAUGGUUAAGAUGGGUUCUCCUGCUGGCUCCGUGGGUUAAGGAUUCAGCAUUGCCCCUACGGAGGCUUGGGUCGCUGCUAUGGCACAGGUUCGAUUCCUGGCCCCAGAACUUCUGCAUGCCACAGCCACGGCCAAGAAGAAAAAAAAAAUGGUUAAGACAGUACAUUUUCUGUCAGUUCUAUUUUCCCCAAUAAAGAAUUAAAUAAAACAAAAACAAACCUCAAGCAUCUUAGUUCCUAAGUCUGAAACUACCCCAGAUCCAGGGAAGGCACACUGUCAGCCCAUAUGCUCACUACUCUAGGAAUUUAUCAUACUCUUUGAGGAUGUUAACUAUAUAUUUAAACAUUAUUUUUAACAUUUUAUUUACAAUUACUAGAUAUUUUAUUCAAGAAGGGUUCCUGCUAUUUCUGUGUUUGUUCAUAAGUAGCCUGAACAAGUGAAGAUUUUGAACACAGGUUGCAAAUUGAUGGCUUACAGAUUUUAUUUUGUUUUUUCAUCAAGACAUUACACACAAAAAAAUCCAGAUUCCCAUCUUCUCUUGAAAUUUUUGAAUCUUUUUUAAUUUAAUUUUAAAAAACUUUUAAAUUAGAGCCACCCUAGUAGAUGUGAAGUAAUGGGCCACUUUCUCACCUGGCAAUGGAAGGCUCAACUACAUACUAGCUUCCCCUUCGAGAUAAAAUAAAUGCUCUGCAGCUUGCCACAGUCACCACAGUACCCAGCAGACCUAAAACUGACCUGUUUUAUCUUCCUAGGUACUAAAAAUAUUAAGGCUUGCAACCACAGGACUAUCAGGACUCUAUCAGGUUUUUAUGUGCCAAUAAUUUCUUCCUCUAGGGAGCCUUUUUUUACUCAAGCCCAUAAUCCACUCUUUACAAUACUCUCUUCCUCUUAUUACCAUCAGAACUAGAAAUCUGAUGGAAGAUGCCCCUAAGAAGUAAAGAGGUGUCAUAAAGUUUGGGGUAAGGACGGAGCUUUAGUCUAUGCAACCUUCAUUUCCGUAGACCUUCCUUCACUUGUCUAUCUUUUCCGUCGUGCUGUGUUGGCUCGCAUUAGAAGGGGCAUGAUAAAGUAUACAGCAUCCUGUACCAGCAGUCAAAACACCUACAUUCUGUUUCCAGACCUGCCUGUUACUAGAUGGGUUCACGGCUCCCAGAAAGACCCAGUGGCAAAUGUAAACUCUCAGUCUCCAGCUCUCACCUUUUUAUCGACUGCUGCUUCCUCUUUCUUCCUUCCAUCCCAUAAGUAUGGUGGGCCAUACGGUUAUUCAUCUAAUGGUGAGUCAUCUUCUGUAAAUCUAAUGUGCUUCUUUCGAGGGCACAGUUUACUGGGGGAACUUCAAAUUUCAGAAAAACUAACUAGAUAGACAAUGUUCCUUGCAAAGAAUUCUUCUAGGAAUUUAAAAAAAAAAAAUGUCUUCGUAUCAGAGGAUAGCUUAAUUAUCUCUGCUCUUAGUUGAUACCUCUUUCAACUUGUAGGUAAAAAUCUCCCAGUUUUGCAAAUCCUGUCAACUAAUUCAUUUAAACAAAACACCGUGUGAGCAAAAUGAAAUAUACCUAUGAACCAAAUUUGGCUCAUGAGCCACUAAUUUGUAGAAGAAACUUAUAGAUAAUGAAAAAAAUUGUAUAUGAUUUAUGUGUUUAAUAAGUGAGAUAUAGGAAACCUCCAAAGUAGCACUUAAUUUUAGAUCAUUUUCCAUUCCCUAAUGAUUUCAUGCAUAAAUCUCUAGCCUCUUGUUAGUUCCCCCCGAGAAAUCAAGUCAUUUUCUUAUUCGUACUUCCGCAUGAAGACCUAGCAGGAUGUGACAUAAAGAACAUGUGCUGAGUUCCCUUCGUGGCUCAGCAGUUAAGGAACCCGACUAGGAUCCAUGAGGAUACGGGUUUGAUCCCUGGCCUUGCUCAGGAUCCCGCUUAAGGAUCCAGCGUUGUGAUAGUGUAGUCACAGACAAGGCAUGGAUCUCGCAUUGCUGUGGCUGUGCGUAGGCCGGCAGCCGUAGCUCUGAUUCGACUCCUAGCCUGGAAACUUCCACAGGGCAGGUGCGGGCCUAGAAAGCAAAAACAAAACAAAACCAAACAAAAACCAUGUGCUCACUCCAGUCAAUGUUUUCGUGAAGUUGUAGAUUUAGGAAGUACCUCAAGCUUCUGGUCCAGAGAUGGCAGAUAGCAUUGUCACAUAUACAGCCACCAUUCUCCAUCCUCAUGACAGACACUGCCUGGUAUAGUACCUGGAAUUCCCACUCGUAAGGUUUAUAUUCCCUUCAAUUGAGCUCUUUUUGAAGAACAGCAUUUCUGAAUUUGUAUCCCUUGACCCCCUAGUUUUGUGGGUUAUCCUUAAGUAUUGAAUAAUUUCUGUGGUUGUAGCAGUCAGAGUUUAAUUACAACCUGAAUUCAUUCUAGCUAGCUUAUUGAGCAACAUAAUUGUUAGCGUUGUUGUUGUUGUUGUUGUUGUCGCUGUUAUGCUCCUGGAGGCCAGACCCGUAUGUUACUCAUCCAGAAACAGCACAGCCAGGAGUAACAACAGGCCGAGAACAAUGCCUGACCUCACUGUGGCACUUUUCUAGUAGAAAUGCCACUGCUUGAGAGUGACCACCGGACACUUCACAACAGCCCCCACAGGAAAACCAGACACCUCCAGCAUGGUGCUUGUCAAGAGAUGCAGUUUUCCCCUAAUAUACUGACUUCCUCUGCCAGGUAUCCCUGGCACACAUCUGAUUGGUCGCAUCUAGGUCAUGUGCCUGCAUCCAACCUCCAAGGGUGUCCUGGGAAAUGUAGUUUUUAGAAAAUGGAGGCACACACAUACACACACUGUAAAGGGGCUUGGGAUGGUGGGGACAGGAGGUGACUGAGCCAACCCACUAUCUGCCACCUGGUCAAAUUAGUUUAAGCUAAAUUGCUGUCUUUGCCCAAAGUCUUUACAGAGCUUUUUAAAUAGUAAUAUUAUUCUCGUUCUCCAAAGAGGGUUUUUUUCAAGUUAUAUUACCAUGAAAUACUUUUUCCUAAUCUUUCAGAACUAGUGUGUUCUAUGGAACACAACUCAAGAUGGCUACACUACGCCACUAGUAUAUCCACUGUGAGUUUUGCUGUUUACGGUAAGCCCCUCCCUGCAAAAGCCUGAGGUCUUGAUAGAUGCUGAUGGACAGCUAGCAGAGAGGCUUCAGGAUGGUAGGCUCGAGUGCAUAGCCAGGGUGGGGACCCAGAGCCACUUUGGGCCAUCUGGAGAGAAUGACCUCAUUGUAUGCCCUGGGGGUAAAGAACCACUCAGUCUGCAUCAUCCUCAAGUAACAGUGUCUGCACCUCACAGAUUACUGCUCUGUGUGGAUGAGUGAGCUGAGCCCACCAAAUGUAUUUCAUCAAGGACUUUUUGAUUUAAGACCUGGAUUUAGCAGCACCUCCCCAAGGUGAAGGGUCAUUUUCUCUUCUACUAAUGACUCACUUGUUGAGAGCAAGCAUUAGUUUGCAGAUUACUGAAAAGAACAUUUACUAGUAAUUUGCGACACAUCAUCAUGUGGGAAUUAGAUUACAGCUAAGGAUUCCCUCAUAAAGCAAGCUUUAACAUUUACUACAUUUCUGGAGAAAUAUGUGUGUUCUUUGCCCCUGUGAGAAUGCAGUUACAGGCCCUAUGUGGGUUUGGGGUCGGCAGAAAGUACCAUCCUGAUUCUUCAUGCUUGCUGAGAUGAAGUCAACUCAGUGCAGAAGGAAGAAUUAGCAUUGGUCCUCGCCCAGAAAGGUUCCUGCAGAAAUGAGAUAAGUCACAGGCAGAGGGAGGAUGAGAAGGCCUUUGGUUGAUCUCAUGGCAGUGGAAUCUGGGGUUUGCAAGAGGAGCAGUGAGAGUGUGUGGCCAGGCAGAGACUAGCCAGGAAGUCAGCAAACGCAGUGCCUUGCCGUCCUCUCCACUCUGGGUAUUUCAUUUUCUUACUGAUGGAUCCUCACUUCUCCCACCCAGAAGUAGCACCUAUGAUGGUUAACUUUAUGUGUCAACUUGACUGGGCCACAGGGUGUCACAGUAUUUGUAUAGCAUUAUUCUGGGUGUGUCUGUGGGGGUGUUUCUGGAGGAGAUUAACUCUUUGAAUCAGUGAUUGAGUAAAGCAGAUUGCUCUCUCCAGUGAGAGAGGGUCCCUUCCAAUUUGUGGAAAGCUUGAGUAGAACAAAAAGGAUGAGUAAAGGAGAAUUCUACACCCCCCUCUUUCAUUCUCUUGGUUCUGUCUGUGCAGAACCCUGAGUAAUACAGCACCCCAAAUCCGCUUUCUUCAGAUGAAUUCCCGGACCCUCCCCCUUUCUCUCUAUCCUUGGUUUUGUCGAUCAGUCAUUCCAUCAACCAAUCAGUCUCUGAUGUAUCUGCCUUUGUUUUCUCAUCCAUAUAAUUGGGGGAAUUCUUCCUGUAUUCUUUAAUGCAAAUCCUUCUGCUCUUUUCCCAAAUCAAAUCAAUAAAUAUCUAUGAAGCAAGGGUCCUGAAACUUUGAGGAUUCCAAAGAGCUUUUGUUUAUGUGGGUUGUGCCAGAGAAUAUUUACACUGUUGUCUAUAAACCACUCUAGAAAUUAAUUAGAAAUGAGAAAAAAUGUUUAAAUGCAAGAAUAAAAAAAGCAUAUCUUACCAGCUGCUGCAGAAAUUGUCAUCACGCAUUAUUCAGCUUCUGGGAAACUCCACUGCACAGCAGUGACAGAAUGAAAGUCAAGGCAAUUACCAUCUUAAUAUUACUAUGAGAAUAGUCUUGACCUCACAGACUUCCAGGAUGGUCUUGGGGACCCCCGGGAUUCCCAGACACUUUGAAAAUCACUGCCCUAGAGCAUCUGCAAAUGGCCUUCCUGCCUCCUUUCGUGGACCCCUUGUUCCCCACAUCACUGCCUCACCGAUCUUCCUAGACACUCAUUUGACUGGGACACUCUUCUACCUAGAGCCCAUUUUUGUUGUUUCUUAUCACCAGUAGGAUAAAUUAUCCACCUAAGCAUAGCGCACAACAACUGCCAUGAUCUGGGCCGUUCCAAUCCUCACCUGAAAAACUCCUAUUGAUUCUUUACUCUCAGUUCAGAUAACUGGGAAAUCUUAACAUGUAUUUUUGCCCUAAAUAAAGUAGAACAAGUGAAAAACUCUACCAAGUUGUUUUAUGUACAGAUAUUUUGAGGAUAAGAAAUGGCUUUGAUGUAAAGAUUUUAUAUUAGGGGGUCAGAAACAUUUGAAAUUUGAUGUCAAGAGUCCAUUACACAGGCUCUGUAAGACCUUACUACUCUUGCGGCUCAGUAGUAACGAACCUGACUAGUAUCCGUGACGUUCGAUCCGUAGCUUCANCUCGCUCCGGGGGUUAAGGAUGCGACGUUGCUGUGAGCUACGAUGUACGUCGCAGUCACAGCUCGGAUCCCGCGUCGCUGUGGCUGUGGAGUAAGCCGGCAGCUGCAGCUCUGAUUCAGCCCAUAGCCCAUGAAGUUCCAUAUGCCCUAGAUGCGGCCCUCAAAAGACAAAAAAAAAAAAACAAAAAAAAAAAAAAA
RNAcentral lists this long non-coding RNA (6095 nucleotides) under Sus scrofa (pig). Its description in RNAcentral is "lncRNA (ENSSSCG00015051560.1)". The record is from RNAcentral. Lineage: Eukaryota; Metazoa; Chordata; Mammalia; Artiodactyla; Suidae.